Molecule: transfer RNA, 65 nt
Filed under: uncultured Ruminococcus sp.
Lineage: Bacteria; Bacillati; Bacillota; Clostridia; Eubacteriales; Oscillospiraceae
Rfam family: tRNA
About the family: Transfer RNA (tRNA) molecules are approximately 80 nucleotides in length. Their secondary structure includes four short double-helical elements and three loops (D, anti-codon, and T loops).
Source: RNAcentral
CUGAUAGUUCAGUUGGUUAGAACGCUAGCCUGUCACGCUAGAGGUCGUGGGUUCGAGCCCCAUUC